CUAAAAGUAAGCAAGGGCGCAUGGCGGAUGCUUGGCUCUCGGAGGCGAUGAAGGACGUGAUAAGCUGCGAUAAGCUGCGGGUAGGUGCAAAUGACCUUUGAUCCGCGGAUUUCCGAAUGGGACAACCCAAUAUCUUGAAGAGAUAUUAUCCUACUAUGUAGGAGGCUAACACAGGGAACUGAAACAUCUUAGUACCUGUAGGAAAAGAAAAUAAAUAAUGAUUCCCCUAGUAGUGGCGAGCGAACGGGGAACAGCCCAAACCAUACAUGUUACGGCAUGUAUGGGGUUGUAGGACCACGUCGUGGGACGACAGUUAGUGAACAGAAUGUUCUGGAAAGUUCAGUCAUAGACGGUGAUAACCCGGUAUGUGAAGCUAACUUAACCCUAGUGGUAUCCUGAGUAGCGCGGGACACGAGGAAUCUUGCGUGAAUCUGCCGGGACCAUCCGGUAAGGCUAAAUACUCCCGAGAGACCGAUAGCGAACCAGU
Molecule: ribosomal RNA, 487 nt
Filed under: Bacteroides stercorirosoris
Lineage: Bacteria; Pseudomonadati; Bacteroidota; Bacteroidia; Bacteroidales; Bacteroidaceae
Description: partial 23S ribosomal RNA
Rfam family: Bacterial large subunit ribosomal RNA
Source: RNAcentral